GAUAAGCCACGUCGUAGCAUGCGAACCAUCCGACCUAACCGGCGCUACUUGGACUAGUUAGGAUCGUGGCUCAUGGGUCUCUAUAAUAGCUUCCUUAUUAAUAGCUUCUUUAUUAUUAUAAUUCCUAGUUAUUAUAUUUUUAUAGUAUUUUAGUUAAGUUAGUCUUCUUUAAUUAUUAGGAUUAGAAUUAUUCCUUGAUUAGUUUACGUAGCUUUAGGAUUGUCUUUCUUUUCUUUUCUAUAUAUUUCAACCAACGUGAUAAACAGAGGCACGUCGAAUAAAUAAAGUUUUCUCUAGUUUUUCUUGCAAUUCUUGCGUAGAAAAUCUGUCGGUACCAAAGCGAUCGCAUCAAUUGGUAUCAAGAGCGAGCUCUGUUACAACUGCUUAAAUGUGCUACGGUCAUGGCAACAAAUAAGGAAAGAUUUGAU
This 428-nucleotide long non-coding RNA is filed under the name Erythranthe guttata (spotted monkey flower). RNAcentral describes it as "long non-coding RNA (EGUT_LNC000394)". Lineage: Eukaryota; Viridiplantae; Streptophyta; Magnoliopsida; Lamiales; Phrymaceae. The record is from RNAcentral.